Molecule: ribosomal RNA, 370 nt
Filed under: uncultured organism
Description: bacterial SSU rRNA
Rfam family: Bacterial small subunit ribosomal RNA
Source: RNAcentral
CGUAGGGUGCAGGCGUUAAUCGGAAUUACUGGGCGUAAAGCGUGCGCAGGCGGUUUCUUAAGUCAGAUGUGAAAGCCCCGGGCUUAACCUGGGAACUGCGUUUGAAACUGGGAGACUUGAGUGUGGCAGGGGGGGUGGAAUUCCACGUGUAGCAGUGAAAUGCGUAGAUAUGUGGAGGAACACCGAUGGCGAAGGCAGCCCCCUGGGUUAACACUGACGCUCAUGCACGAAAGCGUGGGGAGCAAACAGGAUUAGAUACCCUGGUAGUCCACGCCCUAAACUAUGUCAACUGGUUGUCGGGGGAUUAACUCCCUUGGUAACGAAGCUAACGCGUGAAGUUGACCGCCUGGGGAGUACGGUCGCAAGAUUA